GAUGAACGCUGGCGGCGUGCCUAAUACAUUCAAGUCGAGCGAACAGACGAGGAGCUUGCUCCUCUGACGUUAGCGGCGGACGGGUGAGUAACACGUUGAUAACCUACCUAUAAGACUGGGAUAACUUCGGGAAACCGGAGCUAAUACCGGAUAACAUGUUGAACCGCAUGGUUUAACAUUUAAAAACGGUCUUGCUGUCACUUAUAGAUGGAUCCGCGCCGCAUUAGGUAGUUGGUAAGGUAACGGCUUACCAAGGCAACGAUGCGUAUCCGACCUGAGAGGGGGAUCAGCCACACCGGAACUGAGACACGAUCCAGACUCCUACGAGAGGCAGCAGUAGGGAAUCUUCCGCAAUGGGCGAAAGCAUGACGGAGCAAAGCCGCGUGAGUGAUGAAGGUCUUCGGAUAGUAAAACUCUGUUAUUAGGGAAGAACAAAGAUGUAAGUAACUAUGCACGUCGUGACGGUACCUGAGCAGAAAGACACGGCUAACUACGUG
RNAcentral lists this ribosomal RNA (497 nucleotides) under uncultured bacterium. RNAcentral describes it as "partial 16S ribosomal RNA". It matches the Rfam family "Bacterial small subunit ribosomal RNA", at positions 28 to 507 of the family's 1533-position model. The record is from RNAcentral.